CUAAGACACACCCUAGUGAAGAGACGGUUUGUGGAAUCCAUGGCAGAGGGAUUAGAGUGAUGGAAUGAAGAACCUCAGGGGCUAGGGGGUUUGUGGAGUGGGGACACCCUUGCGGCUGGUUGCUCUUACCUCUCUCUCCUCUCCCAGAGCACUAUCCCUUCCCAGUAUUGGUACUACAUGAUUGAACUUUCCUUCUACUGGUCCCUGCUCUUCAGCAUUGCCUCUGAUGUCAAGCGAAAGGAUUUCAAGGAACAGAUCAUCCACCAUGUGGCCACCAUCAUUCUCAUCAGCUUUUCCUGGUUUGCCAAUUACAUCCGAGCUGGGACUCUAAUCAUGGCUCUGCAUGACUCUUCCGAUUACCUGCUGGAGGUCAGGCUUCCUCAAAUCUAGAGACCCUGGUGCAGGUUCUUCUGUCCCUUUGGUUUUCUUUGGGAGGGAGGUGCGGGGUGGGAAUUUGGAGGAUGACAUUCCUGGGACCAAGGAGGAGGGCACAGAGUCAGUGCUCCUAACUGGAGUGUACAUAUGAAUGUACUCGAGGGAGUCAGGAGCCCAUGAUGAUGGAUGGGGGCUCUCUAUGCAGUCAGCCAAGAUGUUUAACUACGCGGGAUGGAAGAACACCUGCAACAACAUCUUCAUCGUCUUCGCCA
Molecule: long non-coding RNA, 647 nt
Filed under: Homo sapiens (human)
Lineage: Eukaryota; Metazoa; Chordata; Mammalia; Primates; Hominidae
Description: non-protein coding lnc-MINDY1-1:4
Source: RNAcentral